ACACCCUCAAGCACUGCUUGGUGUUGGGCGUCUGUCCCGCCUUCGGGCGCGGACUCGCCUCAAAGCGAUUGGCGGCUGGUGCCACGGCCUGGAGUGCAGCAGAAUUGCGCUCCUCGCCCGCGGCCUGGCUCCCAGAAGCGAACCUAUUUCACUUGU
This 156-nucleotide unclassified non-coding RNA is filed under the name uncultured Curreya. Its description in RNAcentral is "sequence contains ITS2". Lineage: Eukaryota; Fungi; Ascomycota; Dothideomycetes; Pleosporales; Cucurbitariaceae. The record is from RNAcentral.